This 281-nucleotide ribosomal RNA is filed under the name uncultured bacterium. RNAcentral describes it as "partial 16S ribosomal RNA". It matches the Rfam family "Bacterial small subunit ribosomal RNA", at positions 505 to 784 of the family's 1533-position model. The record is from RNAcentral.
GUGCCAGCCGCCGCGGUAAUACGUAGGGGGCGAGCGUUGUCCGGAUUUAUUGGGCGUAAAGAGCUCGUAGGCGGUUCAACAAGUCGGUCGUGAAAGUUCAGGGCUCAACCCUGAAAUGUCGAUCGAUACUGUUGUGACUAGGAUACGGUAGAGGUGAGUGGAAUUCCGAGUGUAGCGGUGAAAUGCGUAGAUAUUCGGAGGAACACCAAUUGCGAAGGCAGCUCACUGGGCCGCUAUCGACGCUGAGGAGCGAAAGCUAGGGGAGCAAACAGGAUUAGAUA